CAGCAUGGAAGAAGCUUGCUUCUUCUGAUGGCGACCGGCGCACGGGUGCGUAACGCGUAUCAAACCUGCCUCAUACUCGGGGAUAGCCUUGCGAAAGUAAGAUUAAUACCCGAUGUUGUUAUGUUACCGCAUGGUGAUAUAACCAAAGAUUUAUCGGUAUGAGAUGGUGAUGCGUCCGAUUAGGUAGUAGGCGGGGUAACGGCCCACCUAGCCUUCGAUCGGUAGGGGUUCUGAGAGGAAGGUCCCCCACACUGGAACUGAGACACGGUCCAGACUCCUACGGGAGGCAGCAGUGAGGAAUAUUGGUCAAUGGACGAAAGUCUGAACCAGCCAAGUAGCGUGCAGGAUGACGGCCCUCUGGGUUGUAAACUGCUUUUAGUUGGGAAUGAAAAAGAGGACGUGUCCUCUAUUGUAUGUACCUUCAGAAAAAGGACCGGCUAAUUCCGUGCCAGCAGCCGCGGUAAUACGGAAGGUCCAGGCGUUAUCCGG
Molecule: ribosomal RNA, 489 nt
Filed under: uncultured Prevotellaceae bacterium
Lineage: Bacteria; Pseudomonadati; Bacteroidota; Bacteroidia; Bacteroidales; Prevotellaceae
Description: bacterial SSU rRNA
Rfam family: Bacterial small subunit ribosomal RNA
Source: RNAcentral